RNAcentral lists this long non-coding RNA (2870 nucleotides) under Zea mays. RNAcentral's name for it is "long non-coding RNA (ZMAY_LNC004738)". The record is from RNAcentral. Lineage: Eukaryota; Viridiplantae; Streptophyta; Magnoliopsida; Poales; Poaceae.
UUACAUUUGCUAAUAACUCUAUAAUAGUCCAUCAGGGUCUAAAUAGCCUUUUCCCUUUUAAGUCGGUUCCCUUUUCUGUUAUCACGCCGAAGCUCCCCUACGUAUAGCUUCGGCUCUGCGCCAUCUUUCGUAUUCUUUGUGCUUCUUCACACUGUAGUUUUGUCCUAAGUCCAAAGGUACCUGUUCAUGUAUCAUACUUCAGAAACAUUGUUAAAUCAUAUUUUUGAGGACCUUCAGAAGUCGAAGGCCCCCAACAGGUAGUAUCUGGCCAUUCCAAUGGAACUCUUGAUUCCAUGAACAUCUUUUGGUGCUUUCCAGUUCAGAAAGUCUGCUACCUUCUUUGGAUCCACAGCUAACGCAUUUCAGUUUAUGAUAUGAACCAAGAAUAGGACUUCAUGAAUCCAGAACUCACAGUUACUCAUCUUAGCAUAUAACUGUGACACCCGGAUUUAAGGGGUAAACCCGGGCGCAAAUCAAAUGUGUGCUGGGAUCAAGUCUCACACAUAUGAUGACUUCAUGGUAUGGAAACAAAUGUCACAUCUUUAAUAUAUAAUGGAGUUCUGUACAAAAUAGUUAAAUAAUUAUAUCAUGCGAAGACAAUGAUUCAGCAACCAAAGUUGACUAGGAGACGACGACUUAGACCUCUCAUGAACUCAUCGUGACAUCCUUCACGCUCCUCAUCUUGUAGUACCUAUCCUUGACUUGGGGGGACAUGAGUACAUCAAGGGUGAGCUCACAUACGUUCAUCGCUCAACAAGUUAUGGGGAAUAAUGUGCAUGAGCUCACUUACAGUGGGGCUCAUGUGAAGUGUAAGGUUUACCCAAGGAGAUGGUGGAAGUUGAGAAUUGCUUUUAGAGUUGGUCAAAAAUUUAUUAGCAGUUACUAGGUAUAAGUAGAUACCAACCCAAAUAAAUAAGAGAUCACAAUUAAUAAUAUUACCCACAAUGCAAUGUAUAUGACAGAUUGAGUUUAGUUCCAUAAAUUAAUCAUGUGAGAGUCCUGAGUUGCUCUUAACAGUGAGCACGACAGAUAUACCAGUUUUACACUCUGUAGAGGUUGCGUAUCUUUACCCACAAGUCAUGUUACCCAUUUGCCACGGGGUUGUAUGGACCCCAUACACCUCUACAAAGGAAGCGAGGCAGGGUAGCACUACGAGACCUUUCCAAAGUAACACUAGUUCGAGAAAACCCACUAUGGAUUCAGGAAGAAGGAAGCAUAGCAAUCCCUCGUCUGAAAUGCCAUCGUAGGAGUUCGACAAGAGAACCUCCCUAUACUCUGCAGCGACGCCUCUCCACUUGCCCCUUUUGGGUAAGGUAAUCUCUCCCUAGCUUUCCUAAUUAGUUGGCCAAGGGCAUCCCAUUCCACCCUUGUGGUAGCACUGUUAUCUCAAGUUAAGCUCCAUGUUCCGAUUAACAGAAUGGUCCUUUCAUGAACAAUAAUUAAAUCAACAGCAAAAUUGGAACAUGAUCAUAAUAUAACAUUUAAUUUCCCAAAACCAGGUAAAGCGAUAGCAAAUCUACCCAAUAAUUUAUUCGUUUGCAAGGUGUGGGAUAAACAAUACUAGGGAAACCUAUUAGGUCCCAUCAAAUUAACCUAAGCAUGUCACAGUGAUUAACAGGAACAUUAUUAUGUAAAGAAGAGUGAUCAAGGACACAACUUGUCUUAGACUUGAGAUUCCCAGGUACUUCCCAAUUUAGUCUUCAGGUGACUCGUGACCUCACUGCUACUCGUAGCAAUACAUAUAGAUAGACAAGGAGUACAUAAAUAAAACAGUACACUAACACAUGAGAACAAACAAUGUAAGAAUAUUCUACACAUUGUAACGAGAUCACAGGUUCGAGAACCACUAAAUUUAGAGUUACGGAUAAAGAGUUAUGAUUUUCUGAAGAUGUAAGUGUUAGAUAUAAAACAAAUUAAGUGCAUAAAUUUAACCUAUGUUUCAUAACAAAAUAAGGUUACUAAAUGAUAAAAAAUAUUAAUAUGAAUUUAAUGCAACUGGAAUGGAUCAAAAAGGAGUUAAGAUGAAUUAAUUAUGAAUUAAAUAAGAUUCUAGAUUUAUUUCUAUACUAGAAAACAUUUUCUGAAUUAAUUUAUUCCAUUUAUUCACUUCCUGAGCUGCGGCUAGGAUUUUCUAAUAGCUCAGGGUCCAUUUUGUAAAUUCCAGGACCUAGUCAUAAUUUCUUUUGAACUAAUCUGGACAGCGGAUUAAUUCACCAAAACCCGAGGGCUCCUAUGCUAAAUUGUUCAGUCGAUGGGGUAUGUGCUGUUUCUGGCCAUGCAAUCUUGCAUCAAGGCCUCAAGGGCUACGGUUAGACUUAACUCCACGCGAACCGGUAUCUGCUGCUGGACGCGCAUCCUGUGAUCUAUGACACAUAUUUUAAAUCCCUGAGAUCUAUUCACGUUCGUUCGAUAUCGAAUCGGCGUCCAGCACUCACCCUGGCCGAACAGGUUAACUCCACCAAAUCCUAGUCGUUCAUCCGACAACUGACGACUGAAGUUCAUCUUCCUCCUCACGACCGAGGGAGGGGCACCUCCCUGUUCCCCAUGGCGGCCAUACGCCGGCGCAGCACCCCACCGAGCACCAAUGCUCCAUUUCCCGUGGUAAGGCCUACGCAGAGCGGACAUGAAAGCAAAAUUAUGGGUGCCGAAUCUCACCGGAGAUUAUGUAGCAGAGGCCGUCACCCAUGGCGAGAUGCCGAUCCGGCGGCAGCGUGCCAGCCCCAGCGCGCAAUCGUGGAGGCAUCAAGGGCAAUCACAACGUGAUGAAGCCACGACAAGCAUGCCCACGCACCGGCGAUCAUCCAUGACCCUAUCGAGUACAGCGAAGGAUGGUGGUGGCGCGGCACUGUGGCAGCGACAAUCUUUUCUCU